Molecule: small RNA, 125 nt
Filed under: Marmota monax (woodchuck)
Lineage: Eukaryota; Metazoa; Chordata; Mammalia; Rodentia; Sciuridae
Source: RNAcentral
GCCAGGUGUGGUGGUGCAUGCCUGUAAUCCCAGCAAUUUGGAAGGCUGAGGCAAGAGGAUGCUGAGUUCAAAGCCAGCCUCAGUAACAGCGAGGUGGUAAGCAACUCAGUGAGACCCUGUCUCUA